CGGGGAUGAAGCUUGCUUCAUCUGCCGGCGACCGGCGCACGGGUGAGUAACACGUAUGCAACCUGCCCUAUGCAGGGGGAUAACCGGAAGAAAUUCCGACUAAUACCGCAUAAUACAUGUCGGAGACAUCUCCGGCAUGUCAAAGGAAGUGAUUCCGGCAUAGGAUGGGCAUGCGGCGCAUUAGCUAGUCGGCGGGGUAACGGCCCACCGAGGCGACGAUGCGUAGGGGUUCUGAGAGGAAGGUCCCCCACAUUGGUACUGAGACACGGACCAAACUCCUACGGGAGGCAGCAGUGAGGAAUAUUGGUCAAUGGGCGGAAGCCUGAACCAGCCAAGUCGCGUGAGGGAAGACGGUCCUAUGGAUUGUAAACCUCUUUUGCCGGGGAGCAAAGACGUCCUUGCGAGGGUGUCCGGAGAGUACCCGGAGAAAAAGCAUCGGCUAACUCCGUGCCAGCAGCCGCGGUAAUACGGAGGAUGCGAGCGUUAUCCGGAUUUAUUGGGUUUAAAGGGUGCGUAGGCGGGAUGUUAAGUCAGCGGUAAAAUUGCGGUGCUCAACGCCGUACAGCCGUUGAAACUGAUAUUCUUGAGUGGGCGAGAAGUAUGCGGAAUGCGUGGUGUAGCGGUGAAAUGCAUAGAUAUCACGCAGAACUCCGAUUGCGAAGGCAGCAUACCGGCGCCCGACUGACGCUGAGGCACGAAAGCGUGGGUAUCGAACA
Molecule: ribosomal RNA, 716 nt
Filed under: uncultured bacterium
Lineage: Bacteria
Description: bacterial SSU rRNA
Rfam family: Bacterial small subunit ribosomal RNA
Source: RNAcentral